Molecule: small nuclear RNA, 201 nt
Filed under: Canis lupus familiaris (dog)
Lineage: Eukaryota; Metazoa; Chordata; Mammalia; Carnivora; Canidae
Description: U4 spliceosomal RNA (ENSCAFG00000042243.2, ENSCAFG00040006494.1, ENSCAFG00805005810.1, ENSCAFG00845011331.1)
Rfam family: U4 spliceosomal RNA (bases 1-140)
About the family: U4 small nuclear RNA (U4 snRNA) is a component of the major U2-dependent spliceosome. The structure of U4 snRNA from yeast and human has been reported.
Source: RNAcentral
CGCUUUGCGCAGCGGCAGUAUCCUAGCCAAUGAGGUUCAUCUUAGGCACAAUUAUUGCUAAUUGAAAACUUAAAGAACCACAUAUAUUUAGGUACAACGUAUUCCUAGCUUUUCGUUCUUCUCAAACACUCUUUCCAUGUUAACCUUGUCUAUGCAGCCUUUUGUCAGACAAUAAUGUGAACUUUUGCUGUAGUCCAAUAC